GGCCUUGACAUGCAGAGAACUUCCAGAGAUGGAUUGGUGCCGUUCGGGAACUCUGACACAGGUGCUGCAUGGCUGUCGUCAGCUCGUGUCGUGAGAUGGUUGGGUUAACGUCCCGUAACGAGCGCAACCCUUGUCCUUAGUUACCAGCACGUUAUGGUGGGCACUCUAAGGAGACUGCCGGUGACAAACCGGAGGAAGGUGGGGAUGACGUCAAGUCAUCAUGGCCCUUACGGCCUGGGCUACACACGUGCUACAAUGGUCGGUACAAAGGGUUGCCAAGCCGCGAGGUGGAGCUAAUCCCAUAAAACCGAUCGUAGUCCGGAUCGCAGUCUGCAACUCGACUGCGUGAAGUCGGAAUCGCUAGUAAUCGUGAAAUCAGAAUGUCACGGUGAAUACGUUCCCGGGCCUU
Molecule: ribosomal RNA, 409 nt
Filed under: uncultured Pseudomonas sp.
Lineage: Bacteria; Pseudomonadati; Pseudomonadota; Gammaproteobacteria; Pseudomonadales; Pseudomonadaceae
Description: bacterial SSU rRNA
Rfam family: Bacterial small subunit ribosomal RNA
Source: RNAcentral